This is a long non-coding RNA of Homo sapiens (human), 875 nucleotides long. Ensembl annotates it as S-phase cancer associated transcript 1. Its record names the gene SCAT1. The record is from Ensembl. NCBI's taxonomy places the organism in Eukaryota, Metazoa, Chordata, Mammalia, Primates, Hominidae.
AGACAGGGCACUGUCUGUGGCCCCAGGGGUUGAGGACCCCUGGCUUUAACAACAGAAAGGUACCAUCUUACAGUUCUGGAGGCCAAAGUCUGAUAUCCAGACCCCAGUUACUGGAUUGGGAUCCACCCUCACUCAAUAUGGCCUCAGCUUAAUGAAAGACAUCUGCAGAGACCCUAUUUCUACUAAAAGCCACAUUCUGAGACUUCUCGUGGGCGUGCUUUGGAGGCCAGAGUGCAUGCGUACGGGCCCUGCACACGCUGAAUGUCACUGGGAACAAGGACACACCCCGCUUCCAGGAGAAGAUAGAACAUGUCGACCCCUUUUACCAUAUGACACAUUAUCAGACCAAACCAGAGCUCUUGGUUUUCGGAUCUGGGGAUGAAUUCUUUAGCACAGAUGGAACCAUGAACUUCUAUGAUCAACUGCCAGGAAGGAAAUACCUCAGAGCCAUCCCCAGUGCAGGACAUGCUAUUGACUUCCAUGAGACAAACACCUACUUGGAAAUCAGGUUUUUUCUGUACCUUUUGAAGGAGCAGGAAUUUCCCAGCAUUUCCUGGACAAAGACGGAGAAGAGAAUUCUGGUCCUUUUCCCCUGGGAUUGAGGUCUCCUGGGCUCAGUCUGCAGUGGGAAACCCGGCCACAUUCGCUGCAUCCUUUCCAGCAAGAUGUCAUUCUGAGAUUUUUGUCAUUCCUGGGCGUUAUGAGGACUGCCAAGGGACACAAUUCCAUGGGAGGAAAGUUUUCUUCUAAGCUGCAAGCCAGCUCUGGCUUCUGGAGUUUCUCCUUAGGAUUGCAAGACAGUAGUUCCCUGUCCUUUAGGUCUUCUCCAGAAAUACCUUAAAAUAGCAAAUAAAAUAAGAUAUAAGCAAACAAAA